UACGAAGGGGGGCUAGCGUUGCUCGGAAUCACUGGGCGUAAAGCGCACGUAGGCGGAUCUUUAAGUCAGGGGUGAAAUCCUGGAGCUCAACUCCAGAACUGCCUUUGAUACUGGGGAUCUCGAGUCCGGGAGAGGUGAGUGGAACUGCGAGUGUAGAGGUGAAAUUCGUAGAUAUUCGCAAGAACACCAGUGGCGAAGGCGACUACCUGGCCUGUUCUUGACGCUGAGGAGCGAAAGCGUGGGAGCGAACAGG
Molecule: ribosomal RNA, 253 nt
Filed under: uncultured bacterium
Lineage: Bacteria
Description: partial 16S ribosomal RNA
Rfam family: Bacterial small subunit ribosomal RNA
Source: RNAcentral